Molecule: ribosomal RNA, 528 nt
Filed under: Salmonella enterica subsp. enterica serovar Enteritidis
Lineage: Bacteria; Pseudomonadati; Pseudomonadota; Gammaproteobacteria; Enterobacterales; Enterobacteriaceae
Description: partial 23S ribosomal RNA
Rfam family: Bacterial large subunit ribosomal RNA
Source: RNAcentral
GUUGUGAGGUUAAGCGACUAAGCGUACACGGUGGAUGCCCUGGCAGUCAGAGGCGAUGAAGGGCGUGCUAAUCUGCGAUAAGCGCCGGUAAGGUGAUAUGAACCGUUAUAACCGGCGAUACCCGAAUGGGGAAACCCAGUGUGACUCGUCACACUAUCAUUAACUGAAUCCAUAGGUUAAUGAGGCGAACCGGGGGAACUGAAACAUCUAAGUACCCCGAGGAAAAGAAAUCAACCGAGAUUCCCCCAGUAGCGGCGAGCGAACGGGGAGGAGCCCAGAGCCUGAAUCAGCAUGUGUGUUAGUGGAAGCGUCUGGAAAGGCGCGCGAUACAGGGUGACAGCCCCGUACACAAAAGCGCAUGUGCUGUGAGCUCGAUGAGUAGGGCGGGACACGUGGUAUCCUGUCUGAAUAUGGGGGGACCAUCCUCCAAGGCUAAAUACUCCUGACUGACCGAUAGUGAACCAGUACCGUGAGGGAAAGGCGAAAAGAACCCCGGCGAGGGGAGUGAAAAAGAACCUGAAACCGUGU